Molecule: long non-coding RNA, 862 nt
Filed under: Triticum aestivum (bread wheat)
Lineage: Eukaryota; Viridiplantae; Streptophyta; Magnoliopsida; Poales; Poaceae
Description: long non-coding RNA (TAES_LNC020156)
Source: RNAcentral
UUGACUGCCAACACCUACGGCCGAGAUAAAGAGGCCCCAAAAGAUGGGAACAACCACACGGAAGAAACAUGUCUAGACUCUAUACCCGGGAAAGACACCCCAUCAGCGGGAACAAGUUAAGAAGCGGGGGAGGAAUAAAUCAAAAUGCAAAAAGGCGAGGUAAACCUGAAGAACCCAACACAGGACAUUUUCCUUCAUCAAUCUCUCGACGGCGCCGCUACAAUUCAGCAGAAUUCUUUUGUCCUCCUAAAAAAUUCACAAACAAUUAUUCCAAAGAGGAAACAACAAUUAGAAAUGGCUUGCGAGAACGGCAAAGUCAAGGAAAAUUACUCACGAACAACAGUAAAAUCCAGCACCAAAUUAUCCACAAUGGGGACAUGUACGUGAGAAGGAUGCAUACCGUCGUACGUGCUGCAGACCAUCAGACCAAUCCGAAGCACGGAGAUUCAGACUGCUAGCUGACAACGAACCCUGACGCCCCCCUCUCGUGCGGACAUUAGAACUGGAAGAAAUUGUCUUUUGCAAAAUAGAUGGGCAGCCAACAUCUCCGUACAUAUGAAUAUCCACCAAGCAAGAAGAGUCCAAAGACGAAAUAUCUAGCACAGCAGCCAAUGCACCAGCAAAGAGAGGGGCCGCAGGAACUGUCGGCGAGACAACAGAAUUAGGAAGACCGGCAAUGGCCAUGUGAAACAGAAGCACCACGCAAGGAAGAUACAAGACAAAGGCCCGCGGCAUAGCACCAGUUGAAACACCACUCAGACCAGGAGGAGGCGUGCCCAAAAAUAGACCAUCCGCAGAAGACGAGGAACAUACUUCUUCUCUGGAAUCUCUCGAAAAGGGUGCUUCCCCUCACAAAUAUCCC